CACCACUCGUUCUAUCUUUGGGAAGUCAAAAUUGAUUUUCUUCCACUUGUCACACUAAAAUCUCAACUCUGUCCUUUCUGUUUCACUCUCAAAGAGUUCAGCGGUAUCGGGAUCAAAGGAUUAGGAAGCCGCAGCUUUAAGGGAGGCAAGCAGCAUGAGAAGACUUUGUGGAGGCAGCUCUGAGCAUUUUAUGUAAGCAAUCUAUUUCAGCUUCAAAGGAAGCACUGGCUAAGUGGGUGAACAACAUGUAAAGUGCUCACUUGACAUAAAUUUUUUUUUUUUUAAGUAGCUGAGAUAAAGACAGCCUCCAAUCACUGACCUUUUAUUAUUAGUCAGAGCCCUGAGUACAAGAGAGACUUCAGCAGAGGUGGCCAACGGGCGCCUGCAGAGACUCCAGGCGCGUUCUUGCCUGUUGGUGCAAUAUUUGCAGCUGCGGCACUCUCCUUCAAGUUGUUUGUUCCACUCUCUGCCUGAUGCUAUGGGUAUCUGAUUUCUAUCUCUGGAAACAGCGUGGGAGCCAUGUGGCGGUCAAGGCUGGACUUUAACUGCAAAGGAGCACAUCACAGCAAGCUCCCAGGGAGCCGGGCACAGCUCAGUAUCAGUCUUGGUUUCACUUGAAAAAUGUACAGACCUUUUAUAAAUUAUAGGAAAGAGAUAAUGGAAUCCCUAUGCAUUUACUCUUCUCUUCAUAAACCAUGGCGAGAAUUUUUUUAAAAUUCCAUGUAUUCAGACUAGUUAAAAAAUAUGGAUAGGCUUUUGCUAAUUGUACAUUUUACUUGGUUUAAUAGAUAUAUAUAUUAGAGUAGAGCUACCAUUUGCUGUAUGUCACACGUGCCAGGCUCUGGGCUACGUACUUUCCAUGUAAAAACUCACUAUUCCUAGUGAAAAACCUUUCGGUUAAGUGUUCUACCUCCUAUUUACAGAAGAAUAAAUUGAGGCCCUGCAAGGAUUAAGGAAUCUGUACAAAGUCACACGAUUUCUUCUUUCGGUGGAUCGUGUAAAUUAGUGAGUUGCUUUCACGUCUUUUGGCCAGCUUCAGAGAAGAAUGAAGUACCCAAUGCUUGGUGAGAGGCAGUCCAUGUUCCGGAUGUAAAGCACUUCUCACUAUAUUAAUUGUCCGCUGGCUUAAUUUUUUCAUAUUCUGUCGAAUGCACUUUGCCUGCGUGUACGAAGGCAGCUUCCUCAUCAGAUGUGAGUUGGGAGCAUCCACAUGUACUCCACUGAUGCUCCCCAAACUUCCAAGAUAAAAAUUUCCACAAGGGGAAGAUAGCAGUCAAAUGUGAGAAGAAUAAUUUGCAAAUAGAUAAAUACGCAAAUAAAUAAAACUGUUCAUGGAGUUGUCUACUGGAAAACGAUGUGCCAAGGGCACAAUGAGCGAAAGUGAAGCUUGACAAUGAGUUAGGUCGCCAGAUGUGGCGCGGUGAUUUGGGGGGGCCCAGGGGAGCACCCAUGAGGAGAAAGGCUGGGUGUAAAUCAGUCAUAGCAACGCUCCACUGCACCUGGGGGGCCCUGAGGAAAUACGUUAGUGGUGAAUCAAGAGCCAGGCUCCAAGGCCCUGAGGCCAGUGUGCUGGGAGAGGGGCGUGUCAGAGGCACAUGGGAGAGGUGGGCCUGAAGACAGAGAGAAGCUCUAAGUCAAGCAAAGACCCAGGUUUCUAGAAGUGGUCAUGCAAAUAGCUGAGGUUCGCAGAUUCUAUUAUUUAAUAAUUAAAUGUAAAGAAGCAUUUAGCUUACGUCAACUAUUUUAGUUAGGAGAGCAAUAGUCACAAAGCAGCAGUUGUGAAAUUUAUAUGGAUUGGAAAAGGGUGUGAUAGACACGGGGUGGAAGAGUUUCCAUUUGUUUUGUUUUAAGCCACGGUCAAUGUGGGCUUUCAAAGUCAGAUGCCGAAGGAGGAAUUAAAUUAUCCAGUGAGUAUUAGAGAGUUAUUCUCAAACCGUAUUUUACUGUAAGAUGGGGUUAUUUUAAAUUCAGAAAAGCUAAUGAGCAUAAAGAAGACUGCAAAUCUUCUGGGACCAUGUGUCAGCUGAUCCACAGCUGCUGCAACCGAAAAGUCACAAAGCUUGCUGGGAAAUGGAGAACAAUGCAGACUCAGUUGUCAUGAAUAUCUUAUGUGAAGUUACUUUUUAGAGAAAUCUCCAAAUGCAAUCUCUAUAGGCAAACAUAUACAUUUGUAUAUAGAAAGAGUAAAGCUGUAAUCUUCAUUGAACACAGAGAUUUGUUUCUUUUGGGUUUUUUUAAAUUUGCAUUUCAUUGUUUUUCAUGAAAAUGAAUUUAAUGCUUGAAUUCUGUACAAGCAUCACAGGAAAAGGCUAUCAGGAAUCUGCAAGAGCCAUACAAGGUGUCCCUUAGAUAAAUAAUGGUCAGGAAAGGAAAUGUGUGAAUGAAAAGACCACGAUGUGCUGACUACGUUGAGGCACUGAGCAGAACAGACAGUGGGAGGCAACGACUGAGACAACCUGAGUUGAAAAAUAGUGUCUGGAAGACGCAGGGGUGUAUACAGUGUCUAAUAAAAUUCUGCAAAGAAGCUCAAAAGUGAUCACGUAUUUAUUGCAAGGGUAUUUUCAAAAUAAACUCAUUUUGAAUUAUUCACUCUUCCCCUCUCCCCACCAAAAAAACAACCUAUUAUGAAUUAGUUUGGAGUAAACGUUUUCACAGGUUUUCAACUGGUUGUACCACACACUCUUAAAAUAAAGGUAUUACACAUUCCAAAAACAUUUCAACUCUUACAUGAGCCUAAAGAUAACACCGCUUCAGUCAGCAUUAUAAGCAACACCA
RNAcentral lists this long non-coding RNA (2775 nucleotides) under Homo sapiens (human). RNAcentral describes it as "HSALNT0081605". The record is from RNAcentral. Lineage: Eukaryota; Metazoa; Chordata; Mammalia; Primates; Hominidae.